This 430-nucleotide ribosomal RNA is filed under the name bacterium. RNAcentral's name for it is "partial 16S ribosomal RNA". It matches the Rfam family "Bacterial small subunit ribosomal RNA", at positions 355 to 776 of the family's 1533-position model. The record is from RNAcentral.
UAGGGAAUCUUCCGCAAUGGACGAAAGUCUGACGGAGCGACGCCGCGUGAGCGAAGAAGGUCUUCGGAUCGUAAAGCUCUGUUGUUAGGGAAGAAGAAGUGCCGUUCGAACAGGGCGGCACGGUGACGGUACCUAACGAGAAAGCCCCGGCUAACUACGUGCCAGCAGCCGCGGUAAUACAUAGGGGGCGAGCGUUGUCCGGAAUUAUUGGGCGUAAAGCGAGCGCAGGCGGUCCCUUAAGUCUGAUGUGAAAGCCCACGGCUUAACCGUGGAGGGUCAUUGGAAACUGGGGGACUUGAGUGCAGAAGAGGAGAGCGGAAUUCCACGUGUAGCGGUGAAAUGCGUAGAGAUGUGGAGGAACACCAGUGGCGAAGGCGGCUCUCUGGUCUGUAACUGACGCUGAGGCGCGAAAGCGUGGGGAGCAAACAGG